This 254-nucleotide ribosomal RNA is filed under the name uncultured bacterium. RNAcentral describes it as "partial 16S ribosomal RNA". It matches the Rfam family "Bacterial small subunit ribosomal RNA", at positions 524 to 776 of the family's 1533-position model. The record is from RNAcentral.
UACGAAGGGGGCUAGCGUUGCUCGGAAUUACUGGGCGUAAAGCGCACGUAGGCGGAUUGUUAAGUCGGGGGUGAAAUCCUGGAGCUCAACCUCCAGAACUGCCUUCGAUACUGGCGAUCUCGAGUCCGGGAGAGGUGAGUGGAACUGCGAGUGUAGAGGUGAAAUUCGUAGAUAUUCGCAAGAACACCAGUGGCGAAAGCGGCGCACUGGACCAUAACUGACGCUGAGGCGCGAAAGCUAGGGGAGCAAACAGG